Molecule: long non-coding RNA, 349 nt
Filed under: Capsicum annuum
Lineage: Eukaryota; Viridiplantae; Streptophyta; Magnoliopsida; Solanales; Solanaceae
Description: long non-coding RNA (CANN_LNC013850)
Source: RNAcentral
GGAAAGCCAUCGUUCUCAUUAAAUUGGAUUUAGCAUUUGAUUUGUAGCUUGUUAUAGGAACAUUGCAAUCGUGAGGGCUAUGUUGUGAUCUUUAUCCUUCCAUAUGAUCUAGUUUUAGGGAGGCCCUCUAAAUCUUUUAUAUUUUCAUGAUCUACAAUAAGGAAACUAUAAUUUUUUCAUGAUCCAGUUUUAGGGAGGCCCUCUAAAUCUUUAUCCUUCCUUGUGUGUCUGUGUUUCAUAAUUCAUAAUUAGUCUGUAAUAUUUGGAUUCACAUUUUAUAACUAGUUCACAUUUGGUUUGUAAUAUUUCAUUAUUAUUGUUAUGGAUUGUUAUGCAUACUGGGUGCCCC